This 253-nucleotide ribosomal RNA is filed under the name uncultured bacterium. RNAcentral's name for it is "partial 16S ribosomal RNA". It matches the Rfam family "Bacterial small subunit ribosomal RNA", at positions 524 to 776 of the family's 1533-position model. The record is from RNAcentral.
UACGUAGGUGGCAAGCGUUAUCCGGAUUUAUUGGGCGUAAAGGGAACGCAGGCGGUCUUUUAAGUCUGAUGUGAAAGCCUUCGGCUUAACCGGAGUAGUGCAUUGGAAACUGGGAGACUUGAGUGCAGAAGAGGAGAGUGGAACUCCAUGUGUAGCGGUGAAAUGCGUAGAUAUAUGGAAGAACACCAGUGGCGAAGGCGGCCUGCUGGACGGAUACUGACGCUGAGGCCCGAAAGCGUGGGGAGCGAACAGG